Topomyia yanbarensis is the source of this 1004-nucleotide long non-coding RNA. RefSeq lists it as uncharacterized. The transcript has 4 exons. The record is from RefSeq and is a predicted model, not a curated record. Lineage: Eukaryota; Metazoa; Arthropoda; Insecta; Diptera; Culicidae.
GCCCGCAAGCACUCAUCUCUGCCGCUGAAAGUUUAUGUGGACCGACUGCGUUACAACAAGAUUACCGAUCAAUUGAACCAUAGUAGGUCUUCCUGGGCGGAUACGUAAUUCAUCCACUGAUCAACAAAAAACCUCCAAUUUUGCCCUGAAUAAGAAGGAACACAACGGAAAGGCGAGUAACAUUCCUGCUCUACUCCGACGGUGGAUACGUUGAUAUUACGUACUCGACCCUCUUCGAUUUCUACUUGUAUAAGACAAAGACUUCGAGUAGCACAAGCUUCAGUACAUAACAUAACUGUUAUGUCAUAUUGCGGUAGUUGAACAAAAGAGAAGUGUGUCGAUACACAUAUUUAAGACUUCACUAUCAUCGACGCUCUGUUGAAGUUGAGGACUGGACAACUCAACCUGGUUCUCCAUGCGAAGCGGUGUUGAGCGAACAUGUGAUCUCAAAGAUGACACUUCUCAGCCAAGAAGCAAAUAAUGCACAGCAAUAACCAUCACACUACUACAUCUUGCACAAUUACAUAAACUAUAGAUGGAUAACAGUGUUGAAAUCAAGAUCGGUCCCAGGAAAUUGAGAUGUGCAGCAAGUAUGCGAACCCAAUCGUACUGCAUUUGUGUGUCCUUCACCCAGAAAAUUGCUGUACCGCUAAAACUUCUUUACGGUCAAUACAAUAACGAAGAUUCGGUCCGGGUCACUCACGUUACGAGCAAUGGCUGGCAGCAUGAGGACCAGUAGUUGACCGAGCAAAAUUACACCUUCCACAUUUCCGCACUGUGUGCUACUUUCAGGCAAAUGCUGAAGCAGGCUGGUGCGGUGAUCGGGCCCAAAAUACUGAUGUCAUAUGUAGCAGGAUUGAAGCAAACGGACCAGAUACAAUGUUCCAGUAACCGAUCUCAAUAUCGACGUACCUCAAAAGGAUCUGCUACGCUCGCAUUUUAGUUUCGCCUAAAAUUAACAUAAGCUCCGCAUGGAUGUGUUCAGCUAUUUCCUAACGAUAACC